UAAACCGUCCUUUUUAGGACGACAAAUAAUAUUAAUAAAAAGACAU
Molecule: non-coding RNA, 46 nt
Organism: Clunio marinus
Lineage: Eukaryota; Metazoa; Arthropoda; Insecta; Diptera; Chironomidae
Source: Rfam